AGCGGCGGACGGGUGAGUAAUGCUUAGGAAUCUGCCUAUUAGUGGGGGACAACAUUCCGAAAGGAAUGCUAAUACCGCAUACGUCCUACGGGAGAAAGCAGGGGAUCUUCGGACCUUGCGCUAAUAGAUGAGCCUAAGUCGGAUUAGCUAGUUGGUGGGGUAAAGGCCUACCAAGGCGACGAUCUGUAGCGGGUCUGAGAGGAUGAUCCGCCACACUGGGACUGAGACACGGCCCAGACUCCUACGGGAGGCAGCAGUGGGGAAUAUUGGACAAUGGGGGGAACCCUGAUCCAGCCAUGCCGCGUGUGUGAAGAAGGCCUUAUGGUUGUAAAGCACUUUAAGCGAGGAGGAGGCUACUGAGACUAAUACUCUUGGAUAGUGGACGUUACUCGCAGAAUAAGCACCGGCUAACUCUGUGCCAGCAUCCGCGGUAAUACAGAGGGUGCGAGCGUUAAUCGGAUUUACUGGGCGUAAAGCGUGCGUAAGCGGUUUUUUAAGUCGCAUGUGAAAUCCCCGAGCUUAAC
RNAcentral lists this ribosomal RNA (524 nucleotides) under Acinetobacter junii. RNAcentral's name for it is "bacterial SSU rRNA". It matches the Rfam family "Bacterial small subunit ribosomal RNA", at positions 94 to 613 of the family's 1533-position model. The record is from RNAcentral. Lineage: Bacteria; Pseudomonadati; Pseudomonadota; Gammaproteobacteria; Moraxellales; Moraxellaceae.